UACGGAGGAUGCAAGCGUUAUCCGGAUUUAUUGGGUUUAAAGGGUGCGCAGGUUGUUUGAUAAGUCAGAGGUGAAAGUCUGUCGCUUAACGGUAGGAUUGCCAUUGAUACUGUUGGACUUGAAUAUGGAUGAGGUAGGCGGAAUGUGUAGUGUAGCGGUGAAAUGCAUAGAUAUUACACAGAACACCGAUUGCGAAGGCAGCUUACUAAUCCAUCAUUGACGCUGAGGCACGAAAUCGUGGGGAUCAAACAGGA
This 254-nucleotide ribosomal RNA is filed under the name uncultured prokaryote. Its description in RNAcentral is "partial 16S ribosomal RNA". It matches the Rfam family "Bacterial small subunit ribosomal RNA", at positions 524 to 777 of the family's 1533-position model. The record is from RNAcentral.